UACGAGAGGCCCAAACGUUAUUCGGAAUUACUGGGCUUAAAGAGUUCGUAGGCGGCAUUGCAAGUAGGGUGUGAAAGCCCUCGGCUCAACCGAGGAAUUGCGCUCUAAACUGCAGUGCUCGAGGAACCUAGAGGCGAGCAGAACAGAUGGUGGAGCGGUGAAAUGCGUUGAUAUCAUCUGGAAUACCGGAGGCGAAGGCGGCUCACUGGGGGUUUUCUGACGCUGAGGAACGAAAGCCAGGGUAGCGAACGGG
This 253-nucleotide ribosomal RNA is filed under the name uncultured bacterium. RNAcentral's name for it is "partial 16S ribosomal RNA". It matches the Rfam family "Bacterial small subunit ribosomal RNA", at positions 524 to 776 of the family's 1533-position model. The record is from RNAcentral.